Protopterus annectens (West African lungfish) is the source of this 102-nucleotide small nuclear RNA. NCBI's taxonomy places the organism in Eukaryota, Metazoa, Chordata, Ceratodontiformes, Protopteridae. The record is from RefSeq and is a predicted model, not a curated record.
UGGUUUCAUGAACAGUGUACUGAAAGUGGAAUAAUAUAGAGAAUGUUAGCAGGGCCUCUGCUUAAGGAGUACAUGGAAAUUUAUGAAGCAUUCAAUGUUUUC